RNAcentral lists this long non-coding RNA (29409 nucleotides) under Lactuca sativa (garden lettuce). Its description in RNAcentral is "long non-coding RNA (LSAT_LNC006341)". The record is from RNAcentral. Lineage: Eukaryota; Viridiplantae; Streptophyta; Magnoliopsida; Asterales; Asteraceae.
UUUAAUUUUCACCAACCAACAAUAACCCAAUUACCCAUUCCCGUUAUUCUCACUUUAAUGUCCCUAAAACAACUAACAUAAGGGACCUAGUCUAAGAAUAUUUCAUCGGGGCGACAACACAUGCUUCGGGGGUACCUCAGCAAUAUAAGUCAAAUAAGGCAACCAUGAGGGGGAUGGAGUACAGCGAAUGAACACCCAAGUUCAUUAACACCUACAGGUGGCGAACCUGCUAAUGUUUCCACAAGACUGUCUAGAAUAGCCAGUGGUCGUCAUCUAAACUCCGCUAGAUGACUCAAUCAAACAACAACGAGGCCUCUCAUCUGUUUAUUACACACCAACUGUCUACCCAUGUUCUACCCAACAUAUUAGUAGAUAAAAAUAUACAUUUGUAUACAUAGUUUAAAGAAAACCUGUAUAGCAUGCUUUAAUCAACACAUAUAUCACAUAACAGAUGAGGCACACACACACAUAACACAUAUCUCAUAAAGAAAUAAGCAGAUCUAUAAGAUAGAAGAGAGUGAAUACUCAUUCACACAUAACACAACCAAAUAUAUACACAUAGCACGUAUUUUUAUAUAAAAUACUUCGUAUUAUUGUAUUAGAAGAAAUAACUACACACUCACUUGAUCAGAAGAUGAUCGGACAGCACUACGGCUUAUAGAAGUAGUAAUCCACAGCAGAUCUGGAAGAUCUUCUCGAAAAUCGAACUUCUCGCGGGCAGAGCUUCGACUCGGGAACCGCACUUUUCGGGAUCUUCGGGAUCUCGGGACUUGCCUCGGGGCUAGAGUAUGAUACCGGGACUUCGGGGUAGCUUCGGGGGUUUUUGCACAGAGCUUCGACACGAAAACGAGAGGGAAUUGGCAAAAAUACCCGGAACCCUCGCAUCCUAUUUAUAGGAGGCUGGAGCCUCGGAGUACGCGGGGCGUACUGCGUUACGCGGGGCGUACUGCCCAAAACGUCAUUGCUUACGUAUCCGAAGUGCUCGAGUGCGAGUGUCGACAUCCCUCGGAGUACGCGGGGCGUACUCGAGUACGCGGGGCGUACCUCGGAUCAGAUCGGUGACUCCUUCGGAUAAUGCUUCCGAAUUUUGAUUUAAAUAUAAAUACAAAAUGAUUAAUAAACUUCGGAAAUUCAUAACUUCUUCAUACGAACUCCGUUUUCGACGUUCUUUAUAUCCACGCGAAGGUGAGACCACGCUCUACGACUUUCGUUUAGACUCCGUCGGCUAAUUUUGACUUUAUUUUUAUUAAUUAUUUUUAGUAGGCCGGGACAGAAAAACUUCGUUAUAAAUUCAUAACUUCUUCGUUUGACGUCCUUUCUCGCCUAACUUUUCAUCGUUUCAAUACCAACAACGAGAUCUUCGAUUCUUGUUUAGAUUGAUUUGACUAAAAACCGCUCGAUCUCAAAGCGAGUAUUUCGGACUGCAUACCGCUAAGUCGAAACUUCAGAAAAUCAUAACUUCCUCAUACGAAGUCAGAUUUUGGCGCUCUUUAUAUAUUCGGAAACCUCGUUUCAACUACUACAACAUUAUCCAAAGAUAUCAAGUUUAUUUUACACUUAAAUUUUGAUGCUUAUUUUUAUUCUUAAUUAAUCAAACCACAUAAUUAAGCAAUUAAGCACAAAACACAUAAUACUCAAAUAAUACACUUCUAUUAUUUCAAAAUGGGUUACAAAGGUUAACCUAGACUAUUACAUCAACGAAAAUGCCUAGCCUGGAAACGCGGGCGUUACAAUAAACAUAGCAGGCGCAUUAGUGAUCCCAAAUGACAUCACCAUGAACUCGUAAUGUCUAUAACGAGUCUGAAACACGAUCUUCUCCAAGUCCUCCUCUCUCACUCUCACCUGAUAAUACCCAAAUCUCAUAUCCAUCUUGGAGAACCAAAAUGCACCCUACAACUGAUCAAAGAGGUCAUCAAUCCGCGAAAGGGAAUAACAGUUUUUCACCGUUAACUUGUUCAACUCCUGGUAAGCAACGCACAUCCGGUGUGAACCAUCCUUCUUCUUGACGAACAGUAUUGACGCUCCCCACGGAGAACUGCUCGGUCUAAUGAACUACUUGCCUAGCAGCUCCUGCAGUUGAGAUGACAACUCCUGUAUAUCAGGGGUGCCAAGCAGUAUGGCGCCUUGGAAAUCGGGGCUGCAUGUGGCACAAGAUCAAUCCUGAACUCGACCUGCCUCUCGGGAGGCACACUGGGUAACUCCUCCGGGAAUACAUUAGCAAACUCCCUGACCACUGGAACCUCUGAAACUGAAAUAUGAUCCCCAACUUGAGUAUCAACCAUAUAAGCCACAUAACCUGCACACCCAUGAUGAAUAUAAUAACGAGCCCUAGUUGUUGAACAAAACCUUGAACUGACCCUGGUGCCCUCUCCAUAAAUAACCAGAUCUCCCCCACUUGGGGUUUGAACUACCACUCAUUGGCCCUCACAAUCAAUCAUGGCACCAAACCUGCUCAGCUAGUCCAUACCCACUAUCACGCACACAUCCCCCAUGGAAAUAGGGAUCAAAUCAAUCGGAUAAGACACCUCGAAGAUCUCUAGUACACAACCCUGAUAUACCGCAGAUGCAGCUACCCCAUGUUAGCUGGCGAUAGAAACCCGCAACGGAUACUCUAACUCCCCAAUAUGCAUAUCAAAUUCCUUACUGAAUGAUCGGGAUACAAAAGACCGAAUCGUACCCGAGUCAAACAACACAAGAGCAUGCAAAGAUUUCACUAGGAACGUACCUAUCAGAGGCAUAUAUAUAUAUAUAUAUAUAUAUAUAUAUAUAUAUAUAUAUAUAUAUAUAUAUAUAUAUAUAUAUAUAUAUAUAUAUAUAUAUAUAUAUGUGUGUGUGUGUGUGUGUGUGUAUAUAUAUAUAAGCAUAAUAGAAAACCUAAUCAACAAAAUAAUAAAUAAAAACAUACUAGUCACAACAUAUGGAGCUGCUAUGGCCUUCUCGAUAGUGAGCCGAAAAGCACGACCUCGAGCCCUCGAGGGCUCCGCCCUGACCUGACUCCCAUCCAUGAUCCUCAGUGUAGCUAGCGUUGGAUCCUACGUCAUCCCAACAGCAAACAAGGGUCACUGGGCCUUCAUAUGGCCCACCUGAUCACAAUGAUAACGAAGUAUGAUGCUAGAAGUUAUAGCCUGUUGUCGGUAGUCCCUCGCAAUGUGGCCCUAUUUGCCACAUUUUUGGUAUCCCGAAUAAGAUCGACAAGCUCCAUCAUGAACCUUAUUGCACUUCCCACAAGUGUGGCCCCUCUGACUCCUCGACCUAGAAUCGACGGCCCUAAACCGCUUUGGCGCAGGCUGCGACUGUGUCGGGGCCGGUCUCUGCUCUCUCGUUUGGAGCUCCAUCUCAAUCUCACGCCGCCUGGUGGCCUCCAACAACUCCAACAAUGAACCAUAACGUUGAGUGGAUACAAAUUGUCUGAUAUCCGUCUUGAGCAUGCUCAGGUAACGGGUCAUCUGAGCCUGCUCAGAAGUAGCAAACUCAGGACAAAACAUGGCCCUCUACGUGAACAUCUUGGUGAUCUCUGUCACCGACUCAGUCCCCUGUCUCAAAUCCAGGUACUCCUUGUCCAACCUCUCAUGCUCCACCAGCGGAACAUAUAUAGAACAGAACAUCUCCGAGAACUACUCCCAAGUCAUUGCAGUCCUCUGCUCAGGAGAAUACGAGAUGGUAACAAGUCUCCACUAAUCCUUCGCUCCAGACCUAAGAAGGUUCAGAGCGCACCUGACCCGUUGAUCAGCUGGGCAAGAGUAAGUGAAGAAACACCCUUGAAUGUCAGAAAACCACCUCAUGGCUAUGAUCGGGUCAUGAACUCCAUCAAAUGUCAGGGGCUUAGUAUUGUCAAAGUCCCAAUACUAUAAAACUCUCCCAGCACCAAACCUAGUAGCGGAAACGGUUCUGGUGGCUACAACAACAACAACCUCAGACAAACCAGCAUAACGCUCAUCAAAAUACUCCACCAUGGCGGUCUUAAUAGACUCAAACAUUUCUGUUAACUAUGCUCGAAAGUGAGCAACAACCUCAUCCUGAGGAUCUCCCUAAUCCUGUCCUCGGAAACAACUGGCUCAUUCUGGCCACCUGUCCCUGAUCCUGAUCCGGAUCCUGCAUCAAAACGACGCGUCAUCACCAUACUAAAAAUAAACCAGGGAUAUAUCAAAUAACACGCAUAUCAUACCAUGGGAACCAAAUCCCAACAAAUCCCUAGGGGUUGUGACUUCCCUGUUAUGCGUACGGGUUAUGUGCUUCCAGUAGUACGGGUCCAUACUACCUUCCACACGUACCCGUAUUUUUCUCAAGGAUCAUCACAACAACCCUAACAAUACUCACUAGAAAGCGCGUAAACUCAAUCCUCACUCCCUAGAAGAAAGCUAAACAUCACAAAACUGGUCGGCUGACCCCACACAACUCAUCCAUGAAAUUCAGUCAAACAUCUGGUCCUACCCUAAGCCCUUCAUUAAACAAGAACAUGAAAUAAGGCCAAACCAAACAUCAUUACGUUAUAGAAUCUUAGUUAUGUAUAACUAUGAUGCAUACACUAAGCAACUAUAGUACUGAUGUCAAUUUCAUAUAAGAAAGAACCCUAGGCUAUCAGGCAUCAUAUAACUAGGAAAUUAUAUCAUGCAAUUCCUGAAGAUCCCUAGCCUAUCACUAGCAUGUUGUUCUAACAUAUUACAAGAUCAAAUAAUAGUGUGGUAAAUUGGGGUCUACUUAUUGGCUCCAUCUGAUCGUACACAUCACAUCCUCUUUGAUUCUAUUGAAAACAAUUUGAAAAUCAUUUUCAAAAUCUUUUUUCUUAGUUUGAGACUGGACUCGCACGAGUGUUUAUCCAAUUCACUCAAACCAAGGCUCUGAUACCAACUUGUAACAUCCAUAAAAAUCAUGAUGAAUUUAAACUUUUUAAAAAACAAUCCAAAUUCACAAAUUGUUUACAAACAUAAUUUUCAAAACAUUUUUAACAUCAGAGUCUACCAAAAUCAUAAUACAAAGCAUGAGGAGGUGUACGAUCAUGCCUUCGCCUUCCUGCGGUCAUCUGAAGUACCUAAAACAUAACCCAAAACUAUGAGUCAACGCUUAGUGAGAUCCCCCAAAGUACCAACACAAACAAAUAAUAUAUACGAUAACAACAUGUAGGGUCCAAUCAACCAUCGGGUUGGAAUACCCGAGGCCCCUCAACCAUCGGGUUGGAAUGCCAAUACACAACGGGUACUGUCAUCCUCGGGAUGGAAUACCCUCGGGCCCACUCAACCAUCGAGUUGGAAUGCCCCCGGUCUGUUGGCUCACGUACAAAGCAGUAAUGCCUCAACCACCAACCAAACAUGUGCACAUUGUUAAAACCGUUGUCACACAGGAUUUAAAAAAAUAAAAAUAAAUGGAAAUAUGCUCUAUUGCACUAAGAGGUAGUACAUGUAAGCAAGGUUGGGUCCUCGGGGACACAUCCUAAAUUCUAUGCCUCUUUGCGUACAGCACGUACUAACUGUUAACAGGUCUAUAAAACAUAAGGGGGGGGGGGGGCUUAUUUCUGAAAAUUAAAAUUAAUAAAAGCAGAAAAUUAUAGAAGAUUAACACAAUCUAAAGACUAUGAAAAUUCAAUAAUGAGGAAGCAAUUUUAGUUCCGCGGUAACUCCCUUCAUCGUGCAAUUAACUUUCAACACGAUGAUUGAACUGUACACUUGUUUAAACUGGUAUUGAAGUUCAUUAACAAGCUCUAAUGACCUUUAUUAAAAAAAUCAUUUAAUCAAAAAUAAGCUCUUUGAAUUAAACCAAACUUUUUACUAAAUUAACCAAAAAAAACUCUUGAUUAACAAAGAAAAGUUGCAUUAAACAUAGUGUAAUUUCCCAGUGAAUUCCAACAUCUCUCAUAAGUUCAAAGGCGUAAAAACUUGUUUGAUCAAUUCAUAUUAGAGUUAAUCCUAAACACAGAAUUACUCCAAUACUUGUUACUUUUUACUAAUUAAUCUAGACAAUUACGAAUCUAAACAAUUAGCUAACAAGAAUGAUUUACAAACAAUUAAAGUGCCCAACAUAAAUUGAAAUCAAAUCAAACAUUCAAUUAAGCAUAGAAUUGAUCAAACUAAACAACAAUCACGGUCAAACAUCAUGCUUAAUGAUUAAUCACACGAAAAUGCUACAUCUUGCGAAACUGAAAUCUAGGUAUUUAGCCUGACAUGGCUAAAAACAAAUUAUAAGUAGUACGUAGAAACAAAAUCUAAACGCUAAAUCUUACUAAACAAUGAAAAGAAAUCGAAUCGUAUCCUUCAGAUCUACGUUUUUCACUAGGAAGUCUCUGAAAAUCGCCUUGUAGUCAUCAGGAAUCGCCAAUUAGGGUUACUAGAAAGUUAUAUGGGUCUAUUUAUAUGUCCAACAAUAAAAAAGUCAUGAAUGUGAUCGCAUGUAUGGAGGUUACGAUCGCAUGUAUUGAUGAAAACGUGUCUUAGGCCUUUUAAAUGAAGUACGUUGCUGUUUCGAAACAUUUUGGCCAAGUUACGAUCGUAUGGAAGUAAGUUGUGAUCGCAUGGAUGUAUGUUGCGAUCUCAUAAACAUCAUUUCUUCAUCCAUCUAAAUUUUUGGCAUGAAAAAUUUCCGAAGUCAAGCUACGAGCCAAACAUACGAUCGCAUGGAAAAAGUUGUGAUCGCAUGGACAAGAAAUGUGAUCGCAUACCUUCACGUUUGUCUCUUUUUGAUCGUCAUUCCUCCUUCCAAGCUAUUCGUGAUCAUUCCUCAACAUCCUUCCUUAGUUUAGACUCCAAUUAAUCUCCAAAGCAUCCAAUAAUGCAUCACGAACUCGCCUAUUCAUCUGUGUGCUCCAAAUACACUAAAAAUCAUAACAAACGUGAGCAGUGAUCGGUCUAUAUUUUUAACAUAAUAAAUUAUACUAAAUAUGUUGAAUUGAUGUGUGCUUGCCCAAGAAUGUCAUUAUUUUGAUAAAAUGUUGAACAUUAUGUGCAGGCAACUACUUAGUGCUAAAUUGGUCGGAACCCACAAGAAAAAUGAGUAAACUGAAAUUAACAAGUAUGGGAGACGAAUUGCUAAAGGAAUGAAGAAAAAUGGUGCUGAGAAAUUUGACCACUCUUCAAUAUUUUGAUCAUAUCUCAAGAUCUAGAGCUCCAAUUGACAUGAAUGUAGAAAUUCUGAAAACUAGACAAAAUUUCCUACAACUUUCAUGUUUUUCAUUUUUGUUGAUUCUACCGUUUUCAUCACCAAAAAGGUGCAACAAAGAUGAGGGGCGUCCUAGAACGCGCCUAAGACGCCUACCCGUUUUAGGCCAUUUUCAAGUGCAAAUCAAAGAUGACAGAAGGCAUGUAAAACGCCUUGAAGGACGCCCAGACGUCCUAUAGGACGUCUAAGACGCCUACUAGGACGCCGACGUGGAAAACAGCUCCGAAAAUCAGUUUUUUAGCACCUAUUUAAGGGAGAUUAAACCCUAAUCAACUUUGGACUUCUCCCCUGCGAUUUUCACCAGUUUUGGAGGGUUCCAAACCUUCUCCAAACGCGUUCUUGAUCAUCAAUUUCCGAAUCAAAGCCAAGAAAUCAUCAAAUUCAUUAUCAUUCAACGUUUGAAGAUUGUUCAACCAACGAAUCUACAUCUAUUCCAUCAAACUCCAGAUUUUAUUACUUCAUCCCCAAGGUUUCAUCGUUCCAUAGUUGAUUGAUCAUUAGACUUCAUUGAUUUUAUGAUUCCAAGUUGGUUUGUGAAUUUUAGCAUUAAUUCCAUUGUUUAUAUUGAAGUUGUGUGUUUUGUUAAUCAUAUGGAAGGCUAAACCACCUAGGUUACUUCCGGGAACGUUGUAGGAUGUUAAUUUGAACACGUUUUGAUUAUUACUUUUAUUCUAGUCAAUUUCAGCUAUUGUUACAUUCUUAAAGUUAUGAUUUUUACUUAUAGUAAUUGGAGUUGGGUUUUAUUAUUGUGUGAUAUUGCAACUAAGCUAGUGUAUUGUUAAUUCACUAAUCAUUAUGAAUUCAAGUAGUUUAGGAACUAAGAUGAUCAGUUGAACCCAUAUACAUUAUUCCGAAUUUGUAGUAUUAUAUUUCAACAUUGUAAUAGGUAAUCGUAAGACACAUUAUCUCCAAACCAUUAGUUUUUCCUAAUCCAGUUAGACAUAGGGAGUAAGACAACUAGUUGGGAUAACAUAUUGUGUGCUCAAAAUUAUUUGUUGCAAGUUAAUUAACCUUAAAUAUAUCUAGGUAAUUAAAUUGGAAUUUAAGGGAAGAAAAAUGUGUAAGUCCAACCAUCUAAACAACUGAACCGGAAGUAUCUUGUUUUUUUUUUCUCUUUGAUAGUAGUUUGUUUUAGUAGUUCUUGCAUUACCAAGUUUUUAGCUUUUUCAUCAACUUAUAGUUUAAAUAAUCUCGUGACAAUUGCUAGUAGUUUUUCAUUAACUAUUUUAACACAAAGUUUGACCACAACCUCCUCGUGGAUUCGACCCUUACUUACCUUAGCUAUCUAGUGUCUGUGAGGUUUAUUUUUGACCGAGACAACGACCUCGAUCAAGCAGUACAGGCAUUCUACAAAAUAAUCAUGAAACACACAAUAGACAGGAAUAAUCGGGAGUUAGUUAGCUUUUUAUAAUAAAAUAACAAGAAAAUUAUGCUAAAAGAUGCAUGUAAAAAAUAUCUAACACAUAUAUAACAAAUAAUCAUAUAACAGUAUACAGACAGUCAGACAAAUCUAUAGAUCACUAAGCAUAGCAUUAUCCUAUAUAUAUAUAUCAGGAUACCGAUCUAACAUAUCACUACAGUACAAUAGCAUACAUAACAAGAUAUCAAAUCCAAAGGGUCGGUCUUGGUGUCUUCGACCCGUAAGUACAGUGAGGAAAACUCACCUCACAAACUGAACAGAAGUUGAUGAGGUCCUAACUCCGAAUCUCAGCUCUCUAACCGACACCUAUUCCCACCCAUGACCAAUUUCUAUCAAAAUCCCAAAAUACUCAAAAUACCCUCAAGGUCAUACUUGGUCAAAGCCAACUAGUCAAACUAACUAGGCCAACUGAGUGAACCCAGCCGAGUCAACCAAACCAAGUAACCUGGACCGAGUCAACUUAGGGUGCGUACGUGGGGCGUACUUCGGAGGUACGCUGGGCAUACACGCAACCUCACAGUUGACCACCAUCGGGGGUGGUUAACCUCGUACGCGGGGCGUACCCUCGCAAGUCCAAACUCCAUUAAGAGCUUAAUGGCCUAAGCUCUUACGUCGAUAAUUUAGAUCCAUGGCUAAAAUCCUCCUAGGAGUCAUAAAGUCUCCAACUUUAUGACCUAGCAUGUCCAAUAAGUGCUUAACACAAUGUCUUAUUUCAUUAAUACCUUCUAAAUGAUGCAUGACGCAAUACUAGCCAUUUGGAACCCAUUUGUAUGACUUAAGACCCCUCCUAGGGUCUGAAAGGAUAACUCAAAGGUCAAGAACAUGUCAUAUUCAAGAUCUAACAUUUUGGGACCAAAAAGCUCCAUAAAGACAUCCAAAUCUAUAUCUAUAUGCUAGAGGGAUAAAGUUGCAAGCUUUAUACCUUAGAAUGGUUGUAAAUGGUGAAGGAAUCCCAGAUCCAAGUGUUUCACUCCUUUAAGACGAGCUUGCCUUCCUUUCCUUCUUCUUUAAAAGCACCAAAACACACAAGCUUAGAAAUGGCUCCUCAAGAGGAUAUUAGGGUUGAAAACAUGUAUGAGAAGACGGAGGUUGAUAAGGUGAAUGAAAUGAGGCUAUAAGAGUGUUUAAAUACCAUCCAAACCCUAAAAAUUAGGGUUUCCUUAUCUGGAAAGUACGCCCAACGUACACCACAUACGCAUGGCGUACUCCGAAGGCCCAAAAUUACAACAAUUUUUAGGGUUUCCUUAUCUGGCAACUACGCCCAACGUACACCACGUACGCAUGGCAUACUCCGAAGGCCCAAAAUUACAACAAUACCAUUAAGGCCGUUUUGCAUACAUUUCUUGAACUUUGAGACCAUAAUGCAACAUAAAUGAAUUAAAUGGUUUAAUUUAGAAGUGCUUCACAUCGGGAUGUGACAUCAUGAUAAAAAUUAAAUGACCAAAUAUGUAUAAAGGGUAUAGUUACUUACCCCUCAAGUCAUUAUCCGUUUAUUUUUUUUCUUAGAAACAAAAGGUUAAUACACUAACUUAAACAAUAUAGUAGAGAAGUCUUAAAUGUAUAUUCAAAUUUAUAUCAAUGAUAUGUUGAUGAUAAGAUUAUCAAAGUUGUAAAAAUCAUUUUGCUGAAGAUCAUAUUUUACAAAAACAUAUUAUAAAAAAUAAAAAUGUAAUUGUUAAGGUGCAGUAUUUAUAAAAAAUUUCAUGUACUCAAAACCCGACAUGUCUUAAAUAUUGUUAAUAUUUUGUGAUUUAUCCUAACCUUAUGACCAUGAAACGGGUCCAACAUACAAAAUUAUGUUUUUUUUAGGAAACAUAUUUAAAAAAAAAUGAAAGAAAGACAUAUAUUAUGUUUUAAAGGAUCAUGAUAUAGAAAACAUUUCAAUGUGGGUAAUUUUCUCUUUAUAUUUUGCUAUAAACAAAGAAUAUGGUUUUUUCUCUCUCUUUUUUAUUUUUUAUUUUAUUUUUUUUAACAAUUUGAUCGACCCCUGAACCCAGUUCUAAACCCUAGCCCUCAGCAACCACGCACGUCUCUCUUCUCCUACACUGUAACAUUGUCACUCUCCCAUUCCGAUCUUCCAAAACAUCAAAAUGAUGUCUUUAAUCGCUGCAUCAAAACCCCAUGUAUUGAAACACAGCUUCUUCUCCAAUCUUGCAAGAAUCUCCAAUUCACAGCAUCCGGGUCUCUGCUUUUUCUGCUCAUCGUCUUCCGCAGAUACACCCACAAAUGAAGAAACCCCCAAAACGGAAGCUCCAGAUUUUUCCGCCGAAUCACAUCCUGAGAAACCGGUCUCGACCCAUGAAGAAGCACAACCAGGGACGAUCCAGAAUCGCGAACCCGGAAUCCCACGAGGUAAGCAUCGAAACCCAGAAAAAAUUGAAGAUAUAAUUUGCAGAAUGAUGGCAAAUAGGGCAUGGACGACUCGUUUACAGAACUCGAUUCGAACAUUAGUCCCUGUGUUUGAUCACAAUCUGGUUUACAAUGUAUUGCAUAGUGCUCGAAAUCCCGACCAUGCUUUACAGUUUUUCCGGUGGGUUGAGCGCUCGGGUUUGUUCAAACAUGACCGAGAAACACAUUACAAGAUCAUAGAAAUUUUGGGUAAAGCUUCAAAGCUUAAUCAUGCGAGGUUAAUUUUGCUCGAUAUGCCUAAAAAGGGUCUCACAUGGGAUGAAGAUUUGUUCAUUGUAUUGAUCGAUAGCUAUGGAAAAGCCGGAAUUGUUCAAGAAAGCGUGAAGAUUUUCAGGAGCAUGGAGGAAUUAGGUGUUCCAAGAACUAUAAAAUCAUACGACACUUUAUUCAAGGUGAUAAUGAGAAGAGGAAGAUAUAUGAUGGCGAAAAGGUACUUCAAUAAAAUGUUAGCAGAAAGCAUAAUCCCUUCAAGACACACUUACAAUCUCAUGAUUUGGGGGUUUUUCCUUUCUUCAAGAGUAGAAACUGCAAACAGAUUCUUUGAAGACAUGAAAACCCGUGAAAUUUCCCCAGAUGUUGUCACUUACAACACAAUGAUCAACGGGUUUAAUCGUGUCAAAAAGAUCGAAGAAUCCGAAAAAUUCUUCAUGGAAAUGAAAGCAAGAAACAUCGAACCAACUGUAAUCAGCUACACCACCAUGAUCAAAGGGUAUGUUACAGCUAAUAAAAUAGAUGAUGCAUUGAAGCUAUAUGAAGAAAUGAAAUCUUUUGGAAUUAAACCGAAUUCUUUCACAUAUUCCACUCUAUUACCUGGUCUUUGUGAAGCAGAAAAAAUGUCAGAAGCACAUACAAUCAUGAAAGAAAUGACACAUCGACAUCUUCUCCCACAUGAUAACUCCAUUUUUCUACAAUUAAUCUCAGGUCAAUGCAAAUCAGGUAAUCUUGAUUUAGCUACAGAUGCUCUUAAAUCCAUGAUUCGUUUAAACAUCACCCCUGAAGCUCAACAUUACGGGGUUCUAAUUGUAAAUCUUUUAAACUCCGGGGUUUAUGAUGAAGCUGUGAAGUUGUUAGAUCAACUUAUAGAACAAGAAAUCGUGUUGAACACAAAGGGUACUUUAGAACUCGAGUCAAACUUAUUCAACCCAAUGAUUGACUAUCUUUGCAACAACAACAUGACAUCAAAAGCCGAAACAUUAUUUCGCCAAUUAAUGAAAAUGGGUGUUUUAGAUUCGGUUUCUUUCAACAGUUUAAUACAAGGUCAUUCAAAAGAAGGAACACCCGAUUCAGCUUUUGAACUUUUAAAGAUCAUGAUGAGAAGAAACGUUUCAUCUGAUAAAACUUCUUACAAGAUGUUGAUUGAAAGCUACUUGAAGAAACAAGAACCUUCUGAUGCGAAAACGGUUCUUGAAUCCAUGAUUGAAAACGGGCAUGACCCGGAUUCAUUAAUCUUCAAAUCAGUAAUGGAAAGUUUGUUUGAAGAUGGAAGAGUACAAACCGCAAGUCGGGUAAUGAAAAUGAUGAUUGAAAAGGGUGUUAAAGAUCAUAAAGAUUUGGUUUCAAGAAUCUUGGAAGCUCUUUUGUUAAGGGGUCAUGUGGAAGAAGCUUUGGGGAGAAUUGAGUUAUUGAUGAAUGUUGGAUUUGGGCCUGAUUUUGAUGGGUUGAUUUCGGUUGUUUGUGAGAAAGGAAAGACAAUUGCUGCUGUGAAAUUGUUGGAUUUUGUUUUGGAGAGAGAUUAUGGGGUUGAGUUUUCGAGUUAUGAUAAGGUUUUGGAUGCUCUUUUGAAAGCUGGAAAGACACUUAAUGCUUAUUCGAUUUUGUGUAAGAUUAAAGAGAAAGGAGGUGUGACUGAUAAAAGUAGUGGUGAGGAGUUGAUUAGGGUUUUGAAAGAACAAGGGAACACACAACAGGCGGAUGUUUUGUCAAGGAUGAUUAUGGGGAAGGAGAAAGGGAAGAAAGUGAAGAAACAAGCAUCGGUUUUGUGAGUUUUGAGAUGAGUGAUGAUGAGUCACUUGAAUUUUAGUUUUGAUUUUGUUUGUCACAUAAUAAACUCUAAUGGAGUUAUUGUAACAUGCACCUCACUAGUUUAUUUUACAAGUUGGAACUCUUUCAUAGAAUAUUGUAUUUUGAUUUGAUUUUUGUUAGUUUAUGAAGAUGGUUGGGUUGCUUUUAUGUAGCAUGUUUUGAUUUUUUUAGAGUAUCAAGUUAAUGGGAAAUUGGUAAUGAGAGCAUAUCUUUAUGUGAAUCUUGUAUCAUAAUUAUUGAGAUUUAUCAUUUAUUUUUGGCUUUAAAUUUUCAAAUGAUAAAAAAAUGAAAGGGUUGUUGUUUGAUAGUUGUUGAUUGAGUGGUAUUUGAAUGAGUCAUAUCGACCUUACACAAUAUGACUAAAUCAGAAACUUCUAAUUAUAGUAUAAAACGAUCUGAAUGAAUUUGACUGAGUCAGAUCCCUAACCUCUUACUACCCAACUUCUUAUUAGACCACCUUACUAGACCUAGUAAGAGGCUAUAUGACCAAACUAAAAGAUUUUAAUUAUGGUAUCAAACAGUCUGAAUCUGAAUGAGUCAUAUUGAGUCUCUUACUAUCCAACUUUCCUAACCUCUUAAUACCCAACUUCUUAGGUUACUAGACCUAGUAAGAGGCUAUAUGACCAAACUAGAAGAUUUUAAUUGUGAUAUCAAACAGUCUGAAUCUGAAUGAGUCAGAUCGAAUCUCUUACCACCCAGCUUUCCUAACCUCUUAAUACCCAGCUUCACCAGCUUACUAGACCUAGUAAGAGGCUAUAUGACCAAACUAGAAGAUUUUAAUUGUGGUAUCAAACGGUUUGAAUCUGAAUGAGUCAGAUCGAGUCUCUUACUACCCAACUUUUUACUAGACCUGGUAAUAAGCAUAUUAGAGGCUAUAUGACCAAAUUAGAGGCUUUUAAUUGUGGUAUCAGUCAAUCGAGCCAUCUACUACCUAGCUUCUUACCAGAUAAGAGGCAUAUUAGAGACUAUAUGACCAAAUCAAAAACUUCUAAUUAUUGUAUUAAACGGUCUGAAUUUAACCUCUUACUAGACACAGUAAUAAGCAUACCAAAAAGCCAUUUGGUUGUAGUUUCACUUCUUGUUUUUAGUUUCUCACUUUUUCUACGUAUUUAUUCAAGUGUUAAUGGAAGCCAAAUUAACGGCACUUACUUGAAGCAAGUUUUUGUUAAAAUGAGUUGUACAGUACAAACAAGUGAUGCAUUGAGGAUGUAUGUGUCUUUAUCCUAGUGUAGCUAUUUGGCCAAUUGAUCAACACAUUUGUGUGACAGCCUCUCAUUUUUUGGCUUAUCCAAUGUCUGAUUCUGUGCAUAUUCAAAUUGGAUUAAGUCAAUUUGGUCCAUUGGGCCAAUGUCUUAAGGUAUAUAUAUUGUUCUUUUGGUGUUGGAAACAGUCAAUUUGGUCUUGGAUAUCUUAUAGUUCAUGAGAAGGGUAUUUUGGGUAUUUUGUACAUGGGAAGUUGUAUAUGUGAAGGGGCAUAUAGGGAAGAAGUUAUCAAGGGUUUUGAGAAAUCUGUAUCUCUAUCAGCCAUCGUGGCUUUUAAUUAUUUUUUGACAGUUGUGGCCACCUUUUUGUCUCUUCAUGGAGUGAUUUAAAACAAUGGGAUGUGGCUUUUACACAACCCAACAUUUGCUUCCAAGAUUUUUUUGUGAAAGAAAAUGUUUAAUCUAAUUUAUUUUAUUCUCUAUUAAUAAUAUCUUCUGAGAUGAAAAGGUUCACAUACCAAAAUAUCCAAUCAUGAUUCUAACAUUUUUAUUCGAAGUAUUUUGAAUUCAAGUGUGAAGAACCAUUUAAUGUCUUUUUUUAUAAUGUAUAUAUUAAAUCACUGGCGGACCUAAGUGUAUGCCCGGGAUAACCUUUGGUACCCCUGGAUCUUAGGAAAGUAGAAAUUUUUUGAGAAUUUUUUUUUGCAUAGUUUUAAUUUUUCAGUGUGUUACGACUAAAAUUCAGUGUGCUACCCUGACAUUUUGUUUUGGAUCCGCCAUUGUAUUAAAUGUAACAUACGUGAAAAUAUCAAACCAUAAAAAAAACUUUCUUAUUACAUAUAAAUAAUUCCAACUUAGAAAUAAAUAUCUGGUAUAUGAAUACCUUAUUUACAAACAUACAAAAGAAUCAAGAAAAAUUAAAUAUUUCUUAUAUUUUCUAAUCAAGAAUCAAAAGGCAAUUUAUCCAUUGUUGUAUUUUUAUGAGGAUUCUAUACAAAUGCUUUAAUGGUGAAUAAAAAUGAUCAUUUAAUUAUAUNNNNNNNNNNNNNNNNNNNNNNNNNNNNNNNNNNNNNNNNNNNNNNNNNNNNNNNNNNNNNNNNNNNNNNNNNNNNNNNNNNNNNNNNNNNNNNNNNNNNNNNNNNNNNNNNNNNNNNNNNNNNNNNNNNNNNNNNNNNNNNNNNNNNNNNAAGAAGAUAGUUCAUUGGUCAAGUCUACAAUAAUAGAGAGAUGUUUCAUUUGGAAGACAUCUUGAAUUGUAUAUCUUUAUAUAGGCAUAAAGGUGAUUGUUGGAAAAAUUCAUGAAUAAACUUUUUAAAUGGAAAGUUAAAAUGCUCUAUGUUGGAGUUCAUACCACUAUUUAAAAAGUUGUUUUGGGUAGUUUAGGUAUUUUUUUAUGUUUAUUUUCAAAGGGUCUCGUAAAGUCUUGUCCAACUGAAGAGUAUGAUGUCUCGGUUCUCAUAGGGAGCAAAAGAUGGUCAGUCUAAAAUCUCGUUGAUCAAGCGGAGGACAAAAGAUGGUCGGUCUAAAAUCUCAUUGAUCAAGCGGAGGACAGUGUUGGCUGAUAUGACGAUUAUACCCUUUUACUUUCAUUUUUAUAUUUUUUUAAUUUUUCAAAUACUAUUUUAAUUUAAAGAUAAAAAGAAAAGAAAAUAAUCAUCUUUUUUUUUCUCUCUCUCUCUUGUUUCUACACCAUCGGUGACAAAAAGGAGAACCGACAACCCUCCUCCACCCCUCCUUCCUGUCGAUCGAAAACAACCAAACACCCCUGAGGAUCGUCUCUUCCCUCUGCUGCUACUUCGAUAUUUCUUUCCCCUUAUCCCUUGUGUGUUGCCAAUGGAAUAGAAGGAGAAAAACCAAGGAGGCCACCAGAGCAGCCCACUCGCUAUAACAGUCACCCAACAACGUAAGUCGCCUUCGUUUUCUUCUUUCAUUUUUUGUAACAUCCCAAAAAUACGAGCCAAAAAAUUUCAUUUUUUUAAAACAUAUACUUAGCGAAACAUUAGAAAUAAACGUUCAACAAUCAUAUCAUUUCACAAAAGAUAGUGCAUGUCUGGAAAACAUUUUGAUAAAACAUAAAAGUGUUAGAGUACAAAUCCCCAGGAAGAUCUCAUGAUGCGGAAUACAAGCAUGUGUGUGAUGUACCGCUACCGCGCCAGCUCCUUCCCCUUCGAAGAAGAGGUACCUGAAACCAAAACUGAAAACUGUAAGCACGAAGCUUAGUGAGUUCCCCCAACAUACCACAUACCAUACAUUCACAUAUCAUGCAUACUGCCGGGCAAUUCUGGGGUGCCCGACCUACCCGGUACGGCCAUUCUGGGGUGCUGACCUACCCGUGUCUAGUCGUUCUGGGGUGCUGACUACCCAUGUCAAGCCGUUCAGGGGUGCUGACUACCCAUCGGUCCUAACAACCGAUCCUCAGGGACUAUUUCACCCCCUACUGCUACUAUCACAUAUAUCAUAACAUAACAUAUUAUCAUACAUAUCUGGGGUGUCCGAUCUACCCUUCGGUCCUAACGACCGAAACUUGGGGACUAGUUCCCCCUACUACCACUAUAGCAAAUAACAUAUCAUGUCAGCAUAUAACCAUAUUAUCACAUACUGCCAGACAUAUCUGGGGUGUCUGACUUACCCUUCGGUCCUACAACCGAACUCUACUACUAUCACAUAUACAUAUAAUGCCAGCGUAUAACAUAUCAGGUAGUAGCAAACCUUGAUGUUAUCACGAAGACAAUCAUCUAACAUACAACUCCUACUGGUAGGCCGACAUUGUAGCCGUGGACCCACCGCUACUGGAAGGUAACUCACCUCAAAGUAGCUGCUGAUCGGUGUGGGAACUAACUGUCUUCUGUUGCUGCCGCUCCGGAAAUCCUCCGGCUAAUAAUUCCCACAAAACACUUAGUCAAAUACUGCUAACCGACCUCAGGAUAAAAUGACCAUUUACCCCUAACCAGCUAAGAGUUAAAGUCAAAGUCAACUGGCAGUUGACCUGACUCGCCGAGUUGACUUGCCAACUCGUCGAGUCCCUGUCCCUUAGUCUGACCAUAAAUCCGUCUCUACUCGUCGAGUUAGGCGUUGACUCGACGAGUUCUCCUUCUAAACCCAAGGCCAAUAGUCCUUCAUCCCACUCGCCGAGUUGUAUGAACAACUCGCCGAGUUCAUCUUCAUCCGAAGAACACUCUAUGCUGUGACUCGCCGAGUUGUAUGAACAACCCGCCGAGUUGUUCUUGAGGCAAGAAGAUUGCCUUGAACUCGCCGAGUCAUGGCAUUGACUCGCCGAGUUACUUCAUGAGUGAGUCUGGCUUCCGAACCACUGAGUCAUAUCCCACAACUCAUUACUCCACCCCGCAAACACGAAAGGGGGAAAACUCGGGGACUCGCGACUCGACUCACCGAGUCGGCCACAUGCAAAUACUAUACACGCGAUUCUGCUUGAAUCCAACUCAUGUCAAUCAUAGAUGUGGGUGUCUAGGGCCUGAUUAACACGUAAAGUUUCCAACUUUACGUGUAAAUAAACACCCAUGAGGGUUUUAGGGCUCAAAAUGCACCAAAAGAGUAGAUCUAGGGCUUUCAUGCAAUAUGGCUCCAUAAAGGCAGUAGAUCCAAGCUCCUGGAUCUCAAUCAUGCCUAGAUCUGGAGGCUAACAACUUAUUACAACCCACAAUGCACAAACAAGCUUAGGGAAAGGCUCAAGAAGGACUUUCAUGGAGCUACAAAGGACAAUAAGCAUGAAAACAGAGGGAAACUAAGUUAUACCUCUAGGAAAUCACUGAGAUAACCCAAAUAUGCCUGGCCUCCUUCUUCUCUUCUUGAUCCACACUCCUUCCCUCAACAAAUCUUCAAGAAAACACACCAAAAAGCUUCAAACUCACAAGGAACAAGGCUUGAACGAAGUAUAGAGCUCUAAGGGUGAAUGAGGGCGAGCUUGGGGGCGGAUAAGAGGGUUUAAAUAGGGUGCAAACCCUUGAAAAUUAGGGUUUCAUCAGACAGCGGGGACUCGCCGAGUCGCCAACUUAAACGUGUUCCAGAUUCCGUCUCUACUCGGCGAGUCGGACCUGCAACUCGCCGAGUCCAAGGCUAAAAAUGAAAAACACUAAGAUAAAUUUUACAUACCAGGAACCAGGUGCUACAUUUUUGGCGAUGGACCAAACCUCCACCGAACCACCUCUAUUAUGCUUAUGUUCUUCUUCCUUCCCCCUUCACUCAAGUUGGUUCCCUUUCCCCCUCGAUUGGUGGUUGCCGAGAACGAGCGAAGAGCCUAGGGGAGUUCGUCGGAGAUCGACUCCUUCUCGCGAUCUGUUUGACCACUAGAUCACCAUUUUGACUACUUCUAUUCGUGUUCCUUCUUCCCUCUCCCGAUCGGUGAAGACGAUGAGUAAACCCACAAAGGGUCGUCGGUCUCGACGGACCCCCUUGCCCAUCCUUGCGAUUUCCCAUCUGCAAUUUGUAAAACAACUUGAAUCAGGAAAAUUCACCACAUCAUAGUUAAUAUAUAGCCGAUAAAAUGAUGAUUGAUUUACCAGUAGAGCGAGAUGCGACUUUAGUUUUAUCAAUUAUCUAUUCACCAGUCUCUCGAAGCUUCUUCUACACAUCCCAUUCCAUUCUCCCAAUCGAAUUCGACAAAAUUGAAUCAAACAAUGAUUUUUCUUGGUCAGAUUCAGGAUCUUUCAAAAUUCAUACUCCAAUAGCUCAUUAUAUUUCUGAAACUGAGGGUUUCUGUAACAUCCUAAAAUUUCCAGACAAAAUUUCAUUUUUAACUCAUUUCAAAACAUACAGUAAUCAUUUCAAAACAACCAAAAGUGUAUCAUAGUGAAAUAAUAUCAUAAUACAAAAUCCCAAAAUCACAUAAUGCAUAAAACAUGGGAGGAUGCGGUGCCAUCAAGUCGGGCCCUUCCCUUUCGUGCUGGAAAUACCAGAAACAUAAACUGAAAAUUGUAAGCACAGAGAUUAGUGAGCUCCCCCAAAAUAUCUCAUACCAUACAUACAUCACUAUAAAAAGCAUAAUUGGGUCUAUUUCACCCCUUAGGUAUAUUUCAACCGCUACUAGGUCUAUAUCACCCCCUUUGGUAUCUUUCAACCAGUAUUGGGUCUAUAUCACCCCCUUCAAUAUCUUUCAAAUGGUAUUGGGUCUAUUUCACCUCCUUCGGUAUCUUUCAACUGGUACUAUGUCUAUUUCACCCCUACAACUAAGCAUAGGAUCAAAUCACUGAAAGUCACGAAGACAACAAACACAAACAGACAUAACAUGGAAUUGUCACGAAGACAACUGUCAUCCUACUACCAUAAUCUAGUGGGCCAUCAUUGGUGCCUUUGACACACGGGUACAGUGGAGGAAAGUCACCUCGAUCGAAAGAUAGCAAAUCCCACACCCGAGUCUGUUGCCCAACAGUCCUCAUGUUAAACAUAAUCAAUACCAACCUUAGUUACUAUCUAAGGUUAAAUUCAUAGUCAUAAGGCCCAACAAUGUUCCAAGCCCAAACUAAAGGUGUCACACCCCAAAACCAAGAACGGCGGAAACGUUCUGGGGCGGAGGAUGUCAUGUAGAGUAUCAAAACAAUGUAAAGUAGUAAACAAGCAACAACAUCAUCCAUUGCAUUAAUAAUAGAAUUAUUAUACAAGUGUGUUCUGUCAAAUUUUGAUAAACACUAAAGCAUAAAUCAAAAUGAAAGAUGAGUCUUGAACAAGCUCCAUCUUCCUUUCUCCUUGCAUCGGUACCUGUCUAUGAUGACCUGAGGAUACAAGUAAUUUUGAAAGCGAGUAUCAGCUUUAAAGCUGGUGAGACCAUAAGUAUUUUAGUGACUUAAUUUGUAUGUCAGAAUUUGUAAGUAAAUGAAUUGUAAGUAUUGUAAAUGUAUAUGAAUUGUAAGUAUGAAAAUGUUUGUAAAACAACUAUAAACGUUUGAAAAACUCUAGAAAUCCCUAUGAUUCCUACUAUUAUAUACGGGUGUCUUCUACCAAGACCUAACUAUUCUCAAUGUAGUCUUCUACCAAGACUUAACUGUUCUAAAUGUUCGUGUCAUGUAAAAGUGUGUAAUUUUCCCAAGUGUAACUAUUAUUAACAAAAUAUAGUUUUUACAUUUAUAGUUUAAGUGAAAAGAUCACUAAAUAUGUGUAUAGGGAAAAUUAAUGUAGUACUAAAACGUAGCGCUAUAAGAACUACUGCUGUACUAAUUACCUUAAACCGGAUUUAUAUUAAGGCAUCAUGUGAUUAAUUGUACCAUACUAUUGACUGGUAACAACGACAUAAGAAUGGUCGUAAUAACGGAAUGACGUUUGGCACCCGCAGACCUGCAGGUCCCGCUGUAGCUAGCAGCAAGGUGUAGGAUAGUCAAUCCAGUAUAGAUCUAUACGCAAACUCACGCUCUCCCUUCAAGAGACUCUGGCUACAACUCGGGCCAUGACAUUUAAGGCAUGCUCCGAUACAGUGGAUCACAAUUUUAUGAACGUAUUAAUGUAAGUGUAAUGUACGGAAAUGUUCUACGUGUGCUAGCUGUAAUGUGUGUUCUUUCUCUAUCUAGCAAGUAUAGUAAUGUAAUCGUUCUAGUAUCGUCGUAUAUGUUCUGUUCCUAGUAUCGUAGUAUAUGUAAUGUACUGUAAUGUUCUAGAAAGUAUUGACUCAUGAAUGAACUGACUCAUUGUAUGAUAUCGCGUUCUAGUAAUUGUUCUAGUAUCUUCCUAAACUACCCAUAUGGUAGUUUACUAGUAAUCUAACUGGUACGUAUGGACAUGGAUGUAUACCCUUGCUACCCAAGGGCAUGGGAUGAACUGGAAGGACCUUUUAUGACUAUAUAUGUACACAUGAUAUAUAACUAAUAUUUAAACGACCUUCGGACGAGUACCCGAUAUCCCACCAGACCACAUCUCAAGCGCGAAAAGGAAAUAGGGUGGAUAGCCUUCCUAAGUCUUUUAAACAUUUCUUAUAUAACUAUACAUAUAGAGGCAUGCAAUUUAUAAUAUAAAAGCAUAAAUAAGUUUUGUAAAACAUUUGAACAUAAUUAUUAUUUUCAGAAAAGAUCGACUUGAUGUCAACCAAUAAAACAGUUUGAAGGCAUAGGUUUGAUAAAACAGUUUAAGUAUAAGGAAACAUUUGUUUGGAACACAAUUGUAAAUAAGUUUGAAAUGUGAUAUACAGAGUAAAAUGUACAGUGUAAUAAGGAGUUUAAAACAUAUAAAAUGUUUAUAAAAAUCAUUUGAAGGAAACUGUUUGGUAAAACGGCUAAUGUGUAGUAAAUCAUUUGAAUGCUGCAUAUUAAUCACAUGUGAUUGAUAUAAUAACUAGCAUAAUUCUACUUAUUAAUCACAUGUGAUUGAUAUAAUAACUAGCAUGAUUCUACUUGUAUCCCCCCCAUAAAACAUUUAAAAAUAGUUUAAAACAUUAGUUAAGGGGUAUGAACUCACCUGCAGUAAGUGACUGGAAUUGAACGGACUGUUAUCGUAAGGAAGGAUCGGACAAGUGCUUGGUGUCAAGUGAAGACUUUAGACACACACAAUGAUCCUAAUUACAUAUGAAGACAUAUGUAUAUAAAUAAUUAGUGAUUAAAACACUAAUUAUACAAGUAUAAACAUUUAAACGCGAGGAAAACACUUUUGGUCAAGUGCUAGGAGGCUAAUGGGUUGCAACAAAGGAGUGCAAGGCCUCUAAUGGGAGUUUAUGGUCUAAUGACCAUAUGUUUUGGAGUUUACGGCCCAGGGGAGUAAACUCCUGGCCGUAAACUCUCAACAAAGUCUCUAAAUGAAGCUUAGAAUUAUUACAACUCUAGUGGUGAAUUGUUUCAAGGCUAUAACAAGUGUUUGGGUACCAUAUUAACUCCUUUGGGGAGUUUACGGCCCAGAGACCAUAUUCCCUUGGAGUUUACGGCCGUAAACUCCCUUGGGAGGGUGUUUAUGGUGUUUUCAAGUCUCUAACAUUUCAAGGUUAUGAUCUAUGUUGGGUUCUAGGCAUAAGGAAGGAGUUAGGGUGUCAUUUGACCCCUUUAUAGGUGUUUACGGCCCAAGAACUUGUCUUGGCCGUAAACUCCUUAAUACUUGUGAUUCCUUAUGUUUUCUAGGCUUUAAACACUUUAGGGUACAUGUCUAAAAUCAAGUCUAAGCCUUAGGUGCCUUAAAAGCACCAUUUUGAGCAUGCUUUUUGGAGUUUACGGCCUAAGAUACUCUUGGGCCGUGAACUCCCAAACUUGGGUGAUUCUUGGUUGAUUUCAUGUCCCUAAUACACUCCUAUACAAGUCCAAGGCAGUAGUAUAUCACGGGGGACAAUCUAGGCUUGGUUUCGGGAGUUUACCGCCCAAGAACACCUUGGGGAGUAAACUCCUAAAUCGAAUGAUUUAGCUAUGUAAUCUAUGUUAUGAACACAUUUAAAGCUUUCUAACACUACUAGAAAGAGGUACUCACAAUUUGGGAUAAAAACCCGAAGAUCCGUGAGAGAGAAUUUUGACUUUUCUCUAAAUGGAAUUCAACUAAUGAACCAAUUUGGUUCAGAAUUCUAUUUAUAGUCCUGAGAUAUUUUUGGCAGAAAAUAUUUUUAUUCCUGAAAUGAAUUCUAAUGUCCUAGAGUAUUGGAAUAACAGUGUUGCACAAAACCCUAGUGCAUCCACUCUCCUAAUAUCUCCUUAAGUGUAAAAUCCUACAAACUGCCAAACUUAUACUCGAAAUCUGAGUUUUCACUGUAACUGUUCUACUUCUAUUGGCUUCAAAUGGUUUGUUCAGAAUGGAAAUUUCGGGUUGUCACAAAAGGACCCUAAGGCCCAACAUAUGCCCAAGAGCUCCAAGAUGGCCUAAGGCCCAUAAAUGAUCUAAUACCAUAAAAAGUUCUAAGGCCCAAACCCAACAAAGCAAGAGCCCAACUAAACCCGAGCCCAAAAACUCCAAAAGCCCACAAACAGACGUACGCACGACAUACCUAGCUCAUACACCCGACGUACGUGGCUGAUCCAAAAUCGGGUUGCUUGCCUAGUACGCGCAGCGUACUCAGGUGUAACAACGUAAAUUUUCAAAACAAUUUUUUCAUUUUUAAAACAUUCAUUCACUCAUAAAAUAUUUUCAAAACACAUUGUAUCAACUUUUAUCAUCACAAAACAUCUCCCCAAAAUCUCAAACAAAAUCUCCAACGUGUGUGUGUACGAAUCAUGCCGGCGCCUUCCCGCACUCAUCACUAGUACCUAAAACACAUAACACAACAAAUGUAAGCAUAAACGCUUAGUGAGUUUCCCAAAAUACCGCAUACAACAAAUACGCCACUCGAGGCUAUAAUAAGACCUUCCGGUCGAUGUGUCUCAGCGAGACCCUCCAGUCCCAUAGCUCGUUGGACCCUCUGGUCCGGUCAUAGCUCGUUGGGCCCUCCGGCCCGGUCUGUAUCAUUGGACCCUUCGGUCCGGUCUAUAACAUCAUACAACAUACACAUAACACAUAGCACAUAAUCUCAUACAUAGGACAUAGACCCUCUGGUCCACACAAUAUACCACUCUAGGUAAAGUAUAGUGAGAAGACUCACCUCGAUGUCUCGGUAAGUAUCUGACUCGGAAGAAAUGUGAUCUAGCCUCUGCCUAAUUACAUAAAGUAAAUACUCCCAUAAAUACAACUGUACUCAACCCUAAAAGUCAACAAGGUCAACGGUCAACUUUGAACCGACUCGGCGAGUGCACUAGGCUAACUCGACGAGUCUACACGUGUCCACUGACUCUUAGUCCCCCNNNNNNNNNNNNNNNNNNNNNNNNNNNNNNNNNNNNNNNNNNNNNNNNNNNNNNNNNNNUGACUCUCUUAGUCCCCCUCUUGACACGUCGAGUUCUUCCCCUGACUCGACGAGUUCCACCUGGCAUGAAUCGCGGGGCCACCCUGACUCAACUCGUCGAGUCUCAAGAACAACUCGGCGAGUUCCACUUGAACUCAGUCUCCCCUGACUCUUCCUGACUCACCAAGUUACUCCCCAACUCCGCAAGUCCACUCACUGAGUGAUUAACGGGCAACCUUCAUACUACUCGUCGAGUCUGUUCUUCGGACUCGGCGAGUUUAUGCCAUGCACAAACUCUAUACAACUCCUGAGGUCAGAUCUGUUCCAUACAAUCAUAGAUCUGGCCUCCCUAAGCCUGAUAAUCACGUAAAGUUCGGACCUUGGCACUCAUAUAACAUCUAAAUGGUCCAAAAUGGUGAUUUAGCCCCAAAAAUGACAUCCCAAGCUCAUGACUCCCAAAAUGACUCAUAAAGCUCCAAUGGUUAAGGCCUCUGGACCUCUUUGGGUCCAGAUCCAGAACACAAACUCGAGAAGGGACCAAAUGCUCUACUUAAUCAACCUCUAAAAGGGUUAGAAAACCCUAACACAAAGGAUCAACACCAAAACUGAAGAAGGUCCGAGAAUAAUACCUCAAUACAGUCUCUAUGAGCUCAAAAACCACCAAAAUCGCACCUCCUUCAGCCUCCUCUUGCAUUGGCCACUUCUUUCUUGCAAAAACACCCACAAAAGGAUCAAGAAUGGCCUCUUCUUCCUCACAAACGCUCUAGAUCUCUUAGGGUUUCUCUCUGGGGGUUGGUGGCCACAAAUGACGGCCCUAAAGGCCUUUAAAUAGGUCUCAAACCCUGGAAAUUAGGGUUUCAUUAAACAACAUGGACUCGCCGAGUCCAUUCGUGAACUCGCCGAGUCCAACUGUGAACUCGCAUACGAAUCCGCGACCAUACUCGGCGAGUUUGGACGCCAACUUGCCGAGUCUCCCCACAAAACUCAAAAAUAAAGGAACAAAAUUUAAUACCUGGGAAUCCGGAUGUUACAUCAGGAGUACGCCCGACGUACUGGUCAGACAACCAAACCCACUCCAAAUGACUUAACUCAUUAAGCUUAUAACGUCCAAACUUCAAUUCAACAUCAGAACAAGGUAUUAAACCAUAAAGUUGAAGACUUUAAGCUUUUACAUGGAUUAAAAAGCUCAAAUCUUGGAUUUUAACAAACUAACUUCAUGAAACAACCCUCAACCCUUGCAUGUUGAGCUUAAUUGUGACAUCUUGGAAUUUAGGGCAAAAAUUAUAACCCGCCAUUUAACCGUGAAUCUCGUGAUAAUCUGGCUUAUUGAGUUUUAGUGCAUCUAAAGUAAAAUAAAUCAUUUUAUUUCAAUUAUUAUAUGAUGUCAGAUGAUACCUUGCUUCCAAAUGUGUACACGGUCAACCGAAUCAAACCGUUUAAACGACAACGUUAAUUAAUGCGUUUGAAAAAAUAAAAUUUUGCAUUAAACAAUUUUGAGAAAAAAAAACAUUAAAAUAUCAUAGUACAUGUUCCCCUGUUUCUGAAAAUAUAAAGAACGUCCAAAACGGAGUUCAUAUGCAAAAGAUACGACAAUUUUAAGAAAACAGACAGUAAAACAUUAUUUUUCUUAAAUCACGUAAAACCGAAUCGAUCUGUUGAAGGACUUGCACACCUCAAAUGGAAAUUUCGAAAGCAUUUAUGGACUCAAGCUAUAGCCUAAUAGUUAAUUUCAUAUUCAAAAUAUUUUUAAUAAAAGUAUUUAUAAAAAUUGAAGAAUCAGACUUUUUCAUAUUUAUUAAUCGUGAAACCUUAAACUAUUGAUUUCAACCUCAUUUCAAUUAUUGACAGUACAUUUUGGAAAUAAUAUAUUAUUAUCCAAUCCAACAAACGUGAGUUAUAAUAAUAGAGGUAACAUUAUAUUUUUCAUUUACGGGUAUAACCAUUUAUAUUGAAGCAUAACUAACAUGUGGUCAGUUAUAGAUAGAUUAUUAUAAAUGUUAUAAUACAUACAUUAAUUUAUGUGUCUAAUAAACAUAAAUUAAUUAUAGCAUAAGAAGCGUGACAUCAACCAUUUACUACCAUAAUUUAUACAUUUUAACCUAAGGAUUGAAUCAUGUAUUUUUUUUAAAUAAUGCAUACAUUCAUACACAAAUACAUACAUAUACAAAAUACAUAAUUAUCGAACCAAUAUAAUUUCUCAACAAUACAUACAUCAAUACAUACCCAUUGAAUCAAUUCUACCAACAAAUACAUUAUGUAAAUUCAUAUGAAAAUACAUAUAUAUUUAAAUCAAAUACACAUAUAUUAAAUACAUUAUAUAAAAUAUUAAAAAUAAAAUUUAUACCCUUUACACUUAAAAUGACAACAAAUUUAUGAUUUCUUCUAAUUUCUUUCCCCUUCGCAACUCCUUCUAAGACAAAAGAUGAGCAACCCUGCUGCUUCGUCUCUUCCUUCUCGUCUGAGAGAUAGCAGGCUUGUUGUCUCCCUUCAGCCUCAUUGAACCCCCGGAGACAGUACCUUUACGAUCAAUCGACCCCAAACCUCCGGAUUUUCCAUCUACUAGCUUUCGUUGUCCCCCCCCCCCNNNCCCCCCCCCCCCGCAUUGUCCAUUUGUUCGGUUCCUUCUUGACCUCCCUUGGGAACAAUUCAUAUCCUUUACCCAAUCAGCCAAGUGACGAACAUGAGACUUAUAAGCCCCAAAUUGAAGUCAUUUUAUGGAAUGACUAAACUACCCUUCAUGAUUAAUUCUUAAUUCAAAAUAGGUCCCAAUCCCCAAAAGGUGAUUCCAUUUUUCCACAAACAACCCCUUAUUUGGUUAUUUUUAACAUAAUAAAUCCCAAUAUUCAAACGUUGAAUAAAAAUAACCACUUUAGCCCAUCCUUUGAAAUUAUUUUUACUAAAUCAGUCUCACUUCGGUUAAUUAAGUUACCAAACAACCCAAUAGUUUGUAUUUGUUACGAAACGGUCCGAAGAGUGUUUCAAAGUUCAAGAUUGGUGGAUUUGUGGUUCUCACGAUAACCUUCCCAAAAAUUUACAAACUUUGAACAAAUCGAACUCACACUUCAAGGGUGAGUGUUACGACCCCACUUUUACCAUNUUUUUUUUGGGGGGGGGGGGGAUACAUGUACUACUUGAAAUAUAUAUAUAUAUAUAUAUGGUUAAGUUCAAAUGAGAACACUAUUUAAUGUGAGAACGUGAGAACACUAAUUUAUGUUACUAUUCUACUAUAAAUUUAAUAUGUAUAGUAUUUUAGUAAUUAUAAUAUGAAUAUAUUCAACUUUAUAUUACUAUUCUACUAUAAAAUUUAUAUAUAUAUGUAGUAAUUUAGUAAAUUCUAAUGUGAAUGUUAAAUAUGUGAUUGAUCAUACAUUCGGUGAUGAAUAAUGUCAUAAAGUUGUACAUAUAAAAUUUUAAUGUGAAUAUUAAUGUGCGAUUGUUCGUAUAUUUGUUGAUGAAUAAUGUCAUAUCUUAUUAUAUACAAAGUUCAUAGUAGAAUAGUAACAUAAAGUAGUGUUCUCACGUUCUCACAUUAAAUAGUGUUCUCAUUUGAACUUAACCCUAUAUAUAUAUAUAUAUAUNUCCUAAAUGCUUUGUUUAUACAAAUAACAUCAUCAUUUUUAUGUAAUAUAAAUCACAAAAAAAAAUAUUUUUAUUACUCUACUACUCACGGUAUGGGGAAUCUCGUUUGCAUAGGAUUGUUGGAUUUUAGAACAGCUUAAAUGCCAAAAUGGUCAUGUCAUUCGGUGGUACAUGUCUACCCUCGUUUGUAUAUAGUAGUACGUGUACUAAAUAAUAUUUAUCAUACAAAAUAUACAUGAAAUAUUAUUGUUUUGUAUAAACACAUUACUAGUUUGAGAAAUAACUGUUUAAACGCUUAUAUAUUAAGUAAAGAAAAUUGUUUUAAAACAUCAAUAUUUACAUAUGUUAUGUUGUUAAAAUAAUACAAUAAAUAAAAAUAACAUAUGCAUUCCGACUUCAAAUGUGCUAUGACUGUAUAGACGGUUAUCAACUUGGUAGUUUCAAUAUACCACAUACAUACACAAAAAUAUAUAGGUUUAUAUAUUUAUACAAGUUAUAGAACUUGUAUCUUAGGCUUAUUCAUGUGCUUGUCUGCACUAUCCUAAGUGUUAUCAACUGUUUAAACAAGUAUCGUACACUUCUACGUGUACACUUAUCAAAUAUACUUGUCGUUUAUCCGCAUCUGCGGUUGUUAAGUACAACCUUGGCAUAUAACUUUAUCCGUGUAUCCGUAUGUCUGUUUAUCUGUAUAUGCGUUUGUUAAGUACAACUUUGGCAGAUAACUUUAUCCGUAUAUUUGUAUGUCUGUUUAUCCGUUAUCCAUAUAACCAUGAGCUUGGUUGCUUCGAAAACUAUUUUAAGUAUGGAAUUACUUAUGGAACAUAACAAUUUGGUUUUCAAGGAUAUUCAAAGGUUCAUUACAAACACAUUUUUAUGUAUAGAUUUACUAUACAUUUUGGCUUUUAAAGACCCAUUUCAAAUACUGUUUUAACUGUUGUUAUACAUACAAAGAAAAUACUUUUUUGACUUUUUAAAAGUAUUACUGCGGUUAGCAGAAAACUUGUAACGCUCACCAACCUGUGUGUUAACCCUCAAACUUACUUGUAUUCUCAGGAAAUCAUUAGACAAGUGUCCAGAUAGAAGAUUGGUCAUGGAAUACAGACGACCUACCUAUCUAGUUUUUGUUAUCUGCUUACUUAUUUAAGACAAAUAUUGUACUAUUAUUAUCUGUAAGAACCCUGUAUUCAAAUUUAAUGAUGGAAUAUGUGACAUCCCCAAAAUCUCGACCAGAAAAGACCGAUUUCAUUUAUGCUUUUAAAAUAAUUUCAGAGUAAAUCCUUUUGAUUUGAAAGAGUUGCAGAAUUUGUUCCCAAAAACAAAACAUGAUAAAACAAUGUUUACCAAAACAUUUAAUAAAAGAAAUGUAUUUUUCAUUAUAUAAUCAAAACUCAGGGUGUCAUGUUCCGAUACAGACCAAUAAGCAUAAACGAUAACAUUACAAGUCAUUCAACAAAUAUAUACAUAUACAGACUUGUAAACAAAACAACUGAUGGUUCAUCCAUCUCAUGCCCUCGCGCCACUUCCUGUAAUACAAAUAAAACUGAGUGGGUCAGGCUUGGGAGCCUGGUGAGAAUAUAGGGUUUUCAACCUACAAUAAAUAAUCAUAUUUAAUUUUUUUCACCAACCAACAAUAACCCAAUUACCCAUUCCCGUUAUUCUCACUUUAUGUCCCUAAGACAACUAACAUAAGGGACCUAGUCUAAGAAUAUUUCAUCGGGACGACAACACAUGCUUCGGGGGUACCUCAGCAAUAUAAGUCAAAUAAGGCAACCAUGAGGGGGAUGGAGUACAGCGAAUGAACACCCAAGUUCAUUAACACCUACAGGUGGCGAACCUGCUAAUGUUUCCACAAGACUGUCUAGAAUAGCCAGUGGUCGUCAUCUAAACUCCGCUAGAUGACUCAAUCAAAC